UAAACAUGAGCGAUNNUCGGAACACUCAGGUUCGAAAAGAGAAACCAUUGCGUGUCCCUAGGCCGGGUUUUGCCCGCCGGGUGGUACAACACUGUCAAAACCCAGUGCAAAUUGGAAAUCAGCGUCUGGGAGACUAAAAAAAAAACUACACUCAACUACGGAUCUCUAUUUCUGGCAUCGAUGAAGGACGCAGCAAGAUGCGAUAAGUAAGUGUGUAAUGCAGAAUGCAGUAAAUAAUCGAUUAUUUGAUCGCACAAUGCGCCCCGUGGUAUUCCAUAGUGCAUGCCGGAUGGAGGGUCAUGUGUACCUUCAAGAUUUGAGCGGUUGUUGGGGUGAUUGGUCUCUGCGCUGUGUUGACGCUGCUAGUACGUCUGCCGUCGCAAUACGAGUGGUCAGCGCGUGUCAGCUAGUGAUGUUAAUGGUAGACGGCGAUGUGACUAUCCAUGAGUCGUCAGAUAUGCAGAGCAGUCGACGACAGCGGAUGCGUGAGCGAUGCACAACAAUGCAGAGUGACGUAGCGUGGUAUGACAGGAUAAUAGAUCAAGUCGGA
RNAcentral lists this ribosomal RNA (550 nucleotides) under uncultured fungus. Its description in RNAcentral is "eukaryotic LSU rRNA". The stretch from base 147 to 300 matches the Rfam family "5.8S ribosomal RNA". The record is from RNAcentral. Lineage: Eukaryota; Fungi.